GAGGCUUCCGGACUGGCCCAGAGGAGUCGGCAACGACACCUCAGGGCCGGAAAGCUAUCCAAACUCGGUCAUUUAGAGGAAGUAAAAGUCGUAACAAGGUCUCCGUAGGUGAACCUGCGGAGGGAUCAUUA
This 131-nucleotide ribosomal RNA is filed under the name Microdochium sp. 00019. RNAcentral's name for it is "18S ribosomal RNA". It matches the Rfam family "Eukaryotic small subunit ribosomal RNA", at positions 1703 to 1831 of the family's 1831-position model. The record is from RNAcentral. Lineage: Eukaryota; Fungi; Ascomycota; Sordariomycetes; Xylariales; Microdochiaceae.